Long non-coding RNA from Tyto alba (common barn owl), 948 nucleotides. RefSeq lists it as uncharacterized. The transcript is spliced from 2 exons. The record is from RefSeq and is a predicted model, not a curated record. Lineage: Eukaryota; Metazoa; Chordata; Aves; Strigiformes; Tytonidae.
UGGCGGCGGGGUUUGGGGUGGGGGGGGCGGGUGCCGCCGUCCCCUCGUCCCUCCGGCUCCCCACCGCCCUCCCGGAGCCGGCUAGGCGCCGCCGGGGCGCGUCCGCCUCCCCCUGAGGGAGACCCCAGGACAGGGCGCGACGCCCCCCGGGCCGUGGUGCCUCGUCUCUUCAUCUCCCCUCCAGGACUCGGUGAUUCUUCCUGAUGGCUUUAGUUAAUUUCUUCCUGUAGAGCGUGCCCUCCUCCUCUCUCCGUGGUGCGGCAGAAAAUGGUUUCGGGGCUACUACGGGGCCAGGCCCUUCCCGGGUGGGAUCCUGCUGGAAAGACGCAGGCCUGCCCCGCUCGGGGCUUGCUGCUCGGGCCUCCCGGCCCUGUAUAGGCAUGCACCACGAAUGCAUCAACCCAUAGCCACCAACGGAGAAACAUAAGCUGAGGUUUUCUUUUUUUAUUCUUUUUCCGUCUGGGAAAGACGGGGAUGUAUCACAUGGAGUUGCUGCUGGAUCCAAGGAGAAAUAUUUACUGGAAUGCUUAACAUGGUAUCUGGGGGGAGGAGGGAUCAUCAAAUGAAAUUAUGAGGUGGCAGGUUCAAAAGAAGGUAACUCUUCACGCAAAACAAUACAUCUUGGAACUCAUUGCUACAGGAUGUUGAGGAUGCUAGAAGUUCAAAAAGCAAUUAGACACAAUCACGGAAGAAGAAUCUGUGCAGAGAUGUUCAACGCAAGCACCUCUGAUUCAGGAGCCCUUUGAGGUGCAAAUCUACAUCCUGCGGAAGCAUUUUGGGGAGCAGGCUCCCCUGUUGUCACGCUGUCAUUAGGUGAUUCCUGUUGUCCUGGGCUGGACUAGAAAUGCUGCUCUUCUGAUCCAGCAUGGUCAUCUCUAUGUUUAACUGUCAUUUCAUUUAAUGUGGGUGGGUUUUUUUCAACAAUCUUUAAUAAAUCCUAAACAGCAA